Molecule: long non-coding RNA, 1823 nt
Organism: Piliocolobus tephrosceles (Ugandan red Colobus)
Lineage: Eukaryota; Metazoa; Chordata; Mammalia; Primates; Cercopithecidae
Source: Ensembl
UGUGGGCAGGUGCGGGAGGUGAGGAAGAGGCCUGAGCAAAGGGGAGGAUCGGGGCACACCUGCAAGCUUCCAGACUCACUUCCUGUGAGGCUGCACCCAGGAUGACCCCACCUUCCCACCGGGACAAUGGGGAGGGAGACUGGCUCCGUGGCAAGCUGAUGGGUUUUAGUUUGCUGAGGGACCAAUGCCAACCUGACCUCUCAUGCUGAUGCAAAGAAUUGCCCAUAAAAUGUCUCCAUCAAAGGUGGCUUGGUUACCGCUUGCAGGGCAAUGUUGCUGAAGGCCCUGUUUGCUCAAUUCUCUUCAUAAGUACCUAACACUUACUGGCUUAGUCCCAUUUUCUGAAAUCCCAGAUUGUCCCUUUAAGGAUAACUUGUCUAGCAAAACAAGAGCCUUUGCAGACUGCGCCUCUAAGCAAUAUGCUUUCUCAUUUAACAGAGUAUCUCCCCUAAGGAAACACACUGUCAGAGGCAAAGACCUCAGGCAGGAAGCGUUUUAUUUGACUUGGUGGAAUCUGAUGACUGGUCCUACUGAGUGUGGCCUGAACGGCAUGCUGUUAUACAAAGACCAGAGCCUUUGAAACCUGCGUACUUCCUCACAUGCGAAUCAGUUUAUGCUUCUCCGUGGACUUUGACAACCCGGGAAAGGAAGGUUCUGUUGCCAUCAUUUCAGAUGAGGAAGUGGACACAGAGAGGGCCACGGACUUGGCUCUAUGCCACGCAGCUCAUUGGUGUUCAUAGAAAUGGGAAGGAACCGACAUCUUCCAAUUGCUGUCACCUCUCAGCUGAAAUACCCAAAGUUGGAAAACACCACAAGAAAGCCAUGGUCAGCCUGGCGAGAGGACCCUGCCAGCUGCACACCCAGGGGGGACUGCUCAGGCAGCUCCACAUGCUGCCAGCCUUGCGCGAAAGGUGAGCUUGUGAUUUCCAUUUACAGUAGGUGCCACUUCAUGUUGUGACCCCAGGUGGCCCCAGUCACCCAGUAUCCUCCCUUGAGCCCCUUGCAGGCUCCACUCCCAUCAAUGGGCACUUCCUCUUGCCUCCACCUGGCCAGCUCCUCAUGUCCCUCGGUCCUUGGCUGGAAUAUCAUUCCCGGGACUGUAGGGCAGUGUUUUACUGUGGCCAUGGCGACUAUAUGAAUACACUGUGGGUGGUCGCUUGCCCGGCUCUCCCACCAGACCUGACCUCAUGGUGUGUGGGAACCCAGCCUUGCUCACCACCAUGCCCCAGCCACAGGUAGAGUAGAUGCCCCUAAAUCUUUGUUGGAUGAAUGAAUGAGUGAAUGAAUGAAUGAGUUAACUGAAUCAGCAGCUUCAGGAAAGAGGAGGAGGUGAACGAGAUGACCCCAGGUGACCUGAAGAUGCCCCAACGACACCUCUCCCUGCUCCUUGACUUGUUUUGGGACUACUGCAGAGAGCGUAGACAGGAUUUCUGACAGGUGCAGGUCUUCCCUCAGCUCCCAUGCAGCCCAUCGUGGAAGCCUGCCUCUUUUUUAUGGGAGGUGUGGAUGGAAAUGGCCAUUCACUGAGCCUCUGGAAGACAUCAGGGUGGAAACUGCUAUUCUGUACUAGCAGGGCUAAGCUGAGUUUCUGAGGUAAAGUCUCCGUUUACCCUAGAGGUAUCGGAGCUGGGAGCUCCACCCAGAUUUGAUUCAUUUGGGAGCUCACGUGAUGUUCCCCGGUAGAAGGAGACCUCCUCACUGCUGCACUGUGGGGCCAGCCAUCAGACCGAACGUGGGGCAUGCUAGGAGGCUCAUCUUCUGUCCCGCAUCCAAAGCUGCCAGCGCCUCCCAGGUUUGCUUCAGACCCUGGGCUUAACUGGAGC